GGUUCGAUUCUGGCUCAGAUUGAACGCUGGCGGGAUGCUUUACCACAUGCAAGUCGAACGGUAGCACGGACUUAUCUGGUGGCGAGUGGCGAACGGGUGAGUAAUGUAUCGGAACGUGCCUAGUAGCGGGGAUAACUACGAAAAGGUAGCUAACACGCAUAUUACCUUUCGGGAAAGCGGGGACCUUCGGGCCUCGCACUAUUAGAGCGGCCGAUAUCGGAUUAGCUAGUUGCGGGUAACGGCUCACCAAGGCGACGAUCCGUAGCUGGUUUGAGAGGACGACCAGCCACCGGGACUGGAGACACGCCCAGACUCCUACGGGAGGCAGCAGUGGGGAAUUUUGGACAAUGGGGGAAACCCUGAUCCAGCCAUCCCGCGUGUGGGCGAUGAAGGCUCUCGGGUUGUAAAGCACUUUUUGGCAGGAAGAAACGGCACGGAAGCACAUACUCCGCAACUGACGGUACCCGCAGAAUAAGCACCGCCAACUACGCGCCAGCAGCCGCGGUAAUACGUAGGGUAAGCGUUAAUCGGAAUUACUGGCGGAAGCGUGCGCAGGCGGUUCGGAAAGAAAGAUGAAAUCCCAGAGCUUAACCUCUUGAACUGUAUUUAACUACCGAGCUAGAGGUCAGGGAGGGAGGUGGAAUUCCGCGUGUAGCAGUGAAAUGCGUAGAUAUGCGGAGGAACACCGGAUGGCGAAGGGUGCAGCCUCCUGGGAUAACACUGACGUUUGUACGAAAGCGUGGGGAGCAACAGGAUUAGAUACCCUGGUAGUCCACGCCCUAAACGAUGUCAACUAGCUUUCGUUGGGGCCUUCGGGCCUUGGUAGCAGCUAACGCGUGAAGUUGACUGCCCGGGGAGUACACGCAAGAUUAAAACCAAAGGAAUUGACGGGGACUGCAGCGCGGUGGAUGAUGUGAUUAAUCUGAUGCAACGCGAAAACCUUACCUACCCUUGACAUGUCUGGAAUCCCCGGAAGAGAUUUGGGGAGUGCUGCAAGGAGAACCGGAACACAGGUGCUGCAUGAUGUCGUCAGCUCGUGUCGAGAUGUUAAGUCCCGCAACGAGCGCGCAACCCCUUGUCAUUAGUUGCUACUGAAAGGCACUCUAAUGACUGCCGGUGACAAACCGGUGUAGCGUGGGGAUGACGUCAAGUCCUCAUGGCUCCUUGCGGUAGGGUCAUGACAAUAUACAAUGGUCGGGACAGAGGGUCGCCAACCCGCGAGGGGAGCCAAUCCCAGAAACCCGAUCGUAGUCCGGAUCGCAGUCUGCAAAUCCCGACUGCGUGAAGUCGGAAUCGCUAGCAUCAUGAUCAGCAUGUCGCGGCAAUACGUUCCCGGGUCUUGUACACACCGCUCCGCUGUCACACCAUGGGGAGUGGGUUUUAACAGGAAGAAGUUAGCCUAACUCGUAAGGAGGGCGAUUACCACGGUAGGAUUCAUGACUGGGGGUGAAGUCGUAACAUGGUAA
RNAcentral lists this ribosomal RNA (1466 nucleotides) under uncultured Bordetella sp. RNAcentral describes it as "partial 16S-23S ribosomal RNA intergenic spacer". It matches the Rfam family "Bacterial small subunit ribosomal RNA". Lineage: Bacteria; Pseudomonadati; Pseudomonadota; Betaproteobacteria; Burkholderiales; Alcaligenaceae. The record is from RNAcentral.